AAUAUUGGACAAUGGGGUCAACCCUGAUUCAGCAAUGUCGCGUGUGUGAAGAAGGUCUUCGGCUUGUAAUGCACCUUAAGUUGGGAGGAAGGGCUGUAAGUUAAUACCUUGCUGUUUCGACGUUACCGACAGAAUAAGCACCGGCUAACUUCGUGCCAACAGCCGCGGUAAUACGAAGGGUGCAAGCGUUAAUCGGAAUUACUGGGCGUAAAGCGCGCGUAGGUGGUUUGUUAAGUUGGAAGUGAAAGCCCCGGGCUCAACCUGGGAACUGCUUUCAAAACUGGCAAGCUAGAGUAUGGCAGAGGGUGGGGGAAUUUCCUGUGUAGCGGUGAAAUGCGUAGGUAUAGGAAGGAACACCAGUGGCGAAGGCGACUACCUGGACUGAUACUGACACUGAGGUGCGAAAGCGUGGGGAGCAAAC
Molecule: ribosomal RNA, 421 nt
Filed under: uncultured bacterium
Lineage: Bacteria
Description: partial 16S ribosomal RNA
Rfam family: Bacterial small subunit ribosomal RNA
Source: RNAcentral